RNAcentral lists this transfer RNA (65 nucleotides) under Dipodomys ordii (Ord's kangaroo rat). It matches the Rfam family "tRNA". From Rfam's summary of the family: Transfer RNA (tRNA) molecules are approximately 80 nucleotides in length. Their secondary structure includes four short double-helical elements and three loops (D, anti-codon, and T loops). Further hydrogen bonds mediate the characteristic L-shaped molecular structure. tRNAs have two regions of fundamental functional importance: the anti-codon, which is responsible for specific mRNA codon recognition, and the 3' end, to which the tRNAs corresponding amino acid is attached (by aminoacyl-tRNA synthetases). tRNAs cope with the degeneracy of the genetic code in two manners: having more than one tRNA (with a specific anti-codon) for a particular amino acid; and 'wobble' base-pairing, i.e. permitting non-standard base-pairing at the 3rd anti-codon position. The record is from Rfam by way of RNAcentral. Lineage: Eukaryota; Metazoa; Chordata; Mammalia; Rodentia; Heteromyidae.
GGUGGCUCAGUUGUAGAGCACUUGCCUUGCAUGCAUGAGGCCCUGGGUUUGAUUCCGCAGCACCA